This 2094-nucleotide long non-coding RNA is filed under the name Apis mellifera (honey bee). RNAcentral describes it as "uncharacterized LOC100577914". Lineage: Eukaryota; Metazoa; Arthropoda; Insecta; Hymenoptera; Apidae. The record is from RNAcentral.
AUGUCGCGUGCUUAAAACACCCAUGAUCUGGGCCAGAUAUAAAAAAAAGAUUGUCAAGAACAAUGCACGCAGUUUUCUUUACAGACUCCUCGUGAAUUGAUAUUAUAUAUUCGCACGUGUAUAUACACGCAAUUAAUUGCACCUACGUUUGUGGAAUGGCGUUACUUUCUCACAGGUUGUUGUGGCUCAUGAAUAUUAAGCAUACACAUAUAUAUAUACACAUCCAAUCUCUCUUAGUUUUAAUUGCACACGAGGGAUACGCGCCGCUCCCUCGAAAAAGCUGGAUACGACGUACGAGGCGCCGUCCUCGAGCUCGUCCAGGGUGAGCUUCCUGUCGCCGUCCAUGGAGAAGAUGUGACGCGCCCCUCUGGGGAGAUCCAUCCGCAAGGACAGUCUGUCCAACAGCGCCUCCAACGAGCCGAUGUCUCUCCCCGGUUUGAAUCUGUGAUCUCAUUCAUGGGCGAAAAUCAAGAAAGGAGGGUGAGAAAGGAAGGAAGGAGGAGGAUUUACCUGAACUCGAUGCCAGGAAAGUUACUCUCGAGCCAUCAAGAGGUUGCCGGCUCCUCCUUAGUCAUCCAGCAACGCACAUCCAGCAGUCAAGAAAGGAUAUAUAUAUAUAUAUAUAUAUGCAGGCGAGAAAGUCCACGUGUCGCGUGAUUUGCUGGGGAUUCCCGAUCGAUCUCUCCUCCUUUGCGAUGCACUUUUUAUUUUAUAGCUACAGUUCACUGCGGAUCAAUCGAUCGCCCCCUUCCUCCCCGUUCCUCUCAUCAAAGGGAGAGCCUUCAAAUUUCAAGUGCACGCGCGAGAGAAACGGAAAUCGAGCAAUCCCACAAACACAAACACUCCCUCCUUCCCCCCCCCCUUGGAAUUUCAAAAGAAUCCUCUUUCGUCACUUUGGAUGCACACUUGAUCUUGUUCAAUCUGUCCCUCGAUGAACCACUCGAUGAAAGAAAUUCCACAGAGGAGGGGGGGCGAGGGGUUCCCCUCCCCCUACGAUCUCCUCCAUCGGAAAAAUCGUCAAAAGUUCAACACUUGGACCGUUUCCUUCAGUCCAUCCUCGUCGACGAGGAUCGUGAAAGGGAAGAAGAGAGAGAAGAAAGGAGAAGAGGGAGGGAGGCGAGAGAGGAAAGGUGCCACUAAAGGGAGGAGAGUGGCUACGAGAGGAGAGGAUUGACUGUCCGUCGAAGGAUCGUCUCUCAUUCGAGAUGAGAGGAGCGGAGGAUGGAUGCCGCGCGAUAGGUAUACAUAUUCAUGCGUCCUUCGACUAUGGCGUCCCGACGUCGAGUGUGUAUCGGUUCCGUGGGACAGCCACGGCUACCCCGGCGCCGCAGUCGUCGUCCACGUCGUCGUCGCCGUUGCCUCCUGCCGGCAUCGACGCCCCGUGUCAAUGAACCGGCCGACGCCGGCGAAACCAACGCCGAACUUGUUGCACCGAGGCUCUUGUCUCCCGUCCCAAUCUCUUCAACUUCAUCCCAGCUGGAUGAAGAGCGAAGCGAAAAUUAAAUGAAAUUCCACAAAGUCUGUGGAAAAAUCGAUAAUUCGUAUAUUUGUGUAUCAAAGAAAUAGAGGAUAAGGAAGGGAUUUAUGUUUCCAAUUUUAUAAAAAAUUAAUAUCGCCACAGAGUUUGAAAAAUCAUGGAAGGAAAGGAUAUGUAUAAUAUUUCUAACAAGAGACUGUUUCGUGUUACGUUAAAAACGUCAGUUUGAUUAUUUAGAUUAUAUCAUUUAAUAAGUGUUGAAGAAUCUCAACUGGAAAUGUAUGCUCGACCAAAUUCCCUGAUGCGAAAACAGAAUUUAAAAUAUGAAUGUAAAAUAUAUUUUUUUUCCUUUUUGAAUAUCAAAAAAUAAGGAAAUAGGACAUAUAAGUUCGACACAUAGGUUGCUUAGAAUUUUAAGUUUUAGAAGAAAUUAAAAUUCAACGUGCUCUAUUUUUCUUCCAUGCUCGAUAUCUUUCUUCAAUCAAUCCCUCGACAGUUUGCAUUUCGUGGAGCAAGAAACAGCCGGACUGACUUAUCGGACGGUGACUAGGAUGAUUAGCUGCAUGAAGCUUAAGAAUUGCAAAAUGCACGAGAUGUGAAUACAAGAUACGAUAACA